Long non-coding RNA from Cyanistes caeruleus (blue tit), 3988 nucleotides. RefSeq lists it as uncharacterized. Lineage: Eukaryota; Metazoa; Chordata; Aves; Passeriformes; Paridae. The record is from RefSeq and is a predicted model, not a curated record.
AAAGCAAAAAACGCAAGAAAAGUAAGCUUAACCCAGAAUGCAUAAAUUCAGCCUGGAAAAAAAGCCUCAGAAAUGGGCUGGAUGUUAGGGGUCACAAUACUAAUGUCUUGGCUGUGGUUGGUCACAGACAAUCCUGUGUAUAUGCAGGUUGAGGAGUGUCUGGAGCAGAAAGCUCCAUCAGUGGCCAGUCACUACACUGAAACCACCCAAAAAAGUCCACCAGAUAUCAUGAGUCGGGGGCCAUUGUUCCCUUUUUUCCAAAAGGCAGGAUGAGGGAGCUGAGCACAUGGCCCUGGGCAGGAUUUCUGUCCUGUGCAGAGCAUGUCAUCACAUCCCACCUCACCUGGACUGUCCCGCUCAAGGAAAAGGUAAAGGGAAAGGAGAGAUAAGCCCAAGCUGGCUACAGGGGUGGUGGGACAAGAAUUAAGCCAACAUGGGUUCAGAGGGGCUGGAUGUUGGCCAUCACAGCCGGAAGGAUGGUAGAAAUGUGUGAAGGAACACAUGAAGACAAGAAAUCAUGUUGAAACUGUGAGAGGUAAACACAUGCCAGAGGCAAGGCAAGCACACACAGCACAGGCCAAUGAACACAAUGGAAAUAAAACCCAGUGUUUGCAAAAACCGGUAUGAAAGAUGAGGUACUCCCAUCAUACUCAUGCUGUUUUGCAGAGAACACUUUCCUUUGCUGCAGAAACUGUAAUAGUACCACUGCUGCAAAGCAGAGAAAUCACUACCAUAACACACACAAAACUCAGCAAAAUCACACACUGAAAAACAAACAGAUCCCAAAAAGUCAACAAAAAAUGUUCAACAAGGAAAAUAAGGGGGGUAGGGGGGAAAGACUGGGAACAAAGGUGUGUACCACAUUUGUCUCUUAAAGGCUUCUUAAAGUUUCAUUAGUUCAAUUACUUAAGUACAUCUAAUAGAGCUGAUGAAAUAUGGCAUCAUUUUAUUUUCAUCAAAAGUGGUGUGUCAUAUUCUGGAAGUUUUUCCUGGGAUGUGCCCAGCAUCAGCUGCUCAGGGAGGGGUGUGUGCUCUCAGCUCUGGCGUGUGCUCUUAGUUCAUGGCUGGAAAAUGCUUUGAAGAUGAAAAAGGCACCACGUACGCAACACGGGACAGAGCAGGAAUACCCACUUUGUGUGUGCGCCACACCGCCGCUUCCAAACGCAACGGGCUGCAUUGUCUUUACCUUGUACACGGGGAGAUGCUUCUGAGGGCAUGAGGAAAAGGAGGCAAGGUAUGUUUAAAAAGUCAUUUCACAGUGCAGUGAGGCAGCAGAGGCCCUGCAGCAGAGGAGGACUCCAGGAUGUGCCUCGUGUUGUCUGCCCGAGCAUCCGACAGGCUGUGCUUGGGUGUUAGCAGAGGAUGCUCCUUCCCGAGUGGUUAAAUUCCCAUCCCCACCUCAGCGCUCCUGCUUUUGUAACCUGGAGUCACCCACACUUCCAAAGGAACAAGCAAAUGCCACAAAAACACGAGAGACAAGGAUUUUUGCAUUUAGUCUCUGCAUCAUGCCAGUGUAAAACCCUGGGUGUAUGGCUCUCCUGCAGUAGGAGAGGGCUUCCAGGACAGCACCAGGACUUCAGCUACAAGAGGCAGAGGGCAAGGAAAAGCUCAGGGAAUGACAGAUGAAGAACUGUCAUCAUUACCCUUAAGAGGCUACAGGAUUCUAUACACAAUACAAACAGCACUGAAGCAGGUUUCAGGCUGACGAUGCCAGGUCUGUGAAGGUAAGCCUAUAAAAUGCCAAGGCACAUGGAACCUAUUUACAACAGCUGCACAUACGAAAACUAGUCAAGAGAGUUCACUUCCUAACAAAUUACAAUGCACCAGAAAUAGGAGAGCCCUCCUCUCCCACGGAAACACAAAGUGCAUGGAUUUCUUUUUCAUGUGCGAAGUUUUGUUUAAUGCAUUUUUAAAAUUUAUAUUUGCAAACAGACACAGGAAUGGGAAAUAUGCUGGGGCCAGUCUUGAGGCCACUCAGGGUGUGUUUGUGCACCACAGAGACACCCCAAGCAGGCACACUCGCACAGCUCCUCAGUACUGGGCUCAGGGAACCAGCACACCUUUGGAAUCAUAGAACACUUCAGCUGGAAGGAACCUUUAAAGCUCAGCUGGUCCAACCCUUCUGUAAUAAGCAGGGACAUCUUCCACUAGAUGAGGAUGUCUCAGGGCUCCAGCCAACCUGACCUUGAAUGUUUUCAGGGAUGAGACACCAACCAACUCCCUGGACAACCUGUGCCAGAGUUUCACCACCCCCAUUGUAAAUAUUUCAUCUUUGUAUCUAAGUCAACCCUCCUUCAGUUUAAAACCACUACACCUUGUCUGUCACUACAGGCCCUACUAAAAGGUCUGUCUCCAUCCUUCUUAUUAGCUCUCUUCAAGUAUGUGGAAGGAUUAGAUCCAUCUUGAUCAUGUAAGAAUCCUUCAGUCUUCCAUAUCCCCAAAGCAAAGGCAAAUUUUAGUUCAACAAGUAGACCACAAAAUUUUCCCAAACUUUUCCCCCUUUAUGAGUUGUGGGAAAGCAGGAUGGCACCAGAAAUUAGUUAAAUGAUCUAAUAUCAUGUCAGCUGUGAUUUAAACACUGAAUCAACCCCAGUACUAUGCAUGGCAUGAGCUGUCAGAUCUUCCUCUGAUCCUCCACCUUUAGCACACCUGGCACAGCAAAACUAAACUGUGAUUUGUGUUAGUUAUUCUCUCCUGUUCUACAUAAUUGAAACAUUUGAGCCAGACAAUCCCACUGCAAAUACAAAACUUGAAUAGAAUUUACUCUGGGACAAGUUAGCCACAAAGGACAUCACCACCAAAAAGUGCUUAAAUUCUGCUAGAGCUCUGUCAGCAGUGAAGUUUGUCCUAGAAAUGGCUUUCAGGAAGACAGCUGGUAUUGGGGGUGGGGGCUGGGUGUGGAAUACCUGAGUUUUCUGAAUAUCCACCCAAGGAGCACCUUCCAGGAGUGCUCUGGCUUUAAACAGCCCUCAGUUCCCCCAACACCUCCUUCUUGCCAUCCCCUGUGCCCCCACGCCAGCACACCCAUGCGAGAGCCUGGGCAGCCACGCCAUGACCCUAAGCAGGGACUGACCCCAGCUAAAAAUAAUUCCUUUUGCCAGCUUAUUUUUAACCCAGCUCGGGGCCUGCAGCCAGCUCAUCGUGCAGCCACCCCAGCUGGGGCAGGGAAGGGGGAAAUUAUCGAGGGCAGCUGGAAUCAGCAUCCAGGUUAUGGUGUUAUGCAAAAGAACUUAUUCUACUAAUGCAAAUAAUAAUUAAAAACCUAGCAGUUCUUUCAAUUGCAAAACCAGUUUGGAGAAGUUAUAUUUCUAAAGGUUAGUUCUGAAAAUUACAGAUUUGGUAUUACCCGUAACAUUUAAAAACAAUAAUUAAGGUUUGGUUUUCUGGUGCACCAGGUUCUCCAAAAUGAUCAGCAGCUCCCAGGGAAGAAAAAACCAAACAUGAGCUGUAGCAUCCUGAAAAGCUGUGUCAGUGCUAAAAGCUGCCUUCUGCUCCAAGCAAGAAGGGCUGGGAAACAAUUUCUAGCAAAGUGGUGCUGCCUGGCAGUGGGAAACGGGGCUCCUUGGAGCUGGAGUAAACCAGCAGAGGGCAAUAUUGGCUGUGGCGAGCUGUCCUGGCCGAACAGCCGCUGCCAGCCCGGGCUUGGGCGGUCACACAGCCAUUCUGCACGGCUGCCCAAACUUGGACCAGGUGGGGGCUAAGGGGAGCCACCAGCUACACCAAAGGGUCUGUGCGUCAUCCUGGAAAAUGAAGAUAACACACUGGAUUAAAAACAGCGGCAGAGACAUGCCAGGUGAGCUGGGACAGGUGGAUUUUACCUUCCACCCCCAUCCACACCCAAGAACCCCAUUAUAUCCUGCAUUCAGCUCAGCGUGUACCAACAAGAAUCCUGCAUUCCCAGCACAUCACAAACUACUCAAGGCAACAUUUUACCACAAAGAUUCCCCAAUCUGCAACAAACUGGUAAAAUAAAGUGAUUUUUCAGCAC